RNAcentral lists this small RNA (588 nucleotides) under bovine gut metagenome. The record is from RNAcentral.
UUGAUGGCACACUAUUCUAGUCAAUUACUUUAUUAGGAAGACGAGCUUAAAAAUUCGUUAAAGGGCAUAUCUGUGAAACCUUUGGUGUUUGCUUCUAACGCCCAGUUUGGGGUGAAUGCUGAAGAUGAGAAGAAUGGGCAACUUGUAAUGGCAUACAAGAAAUGACCCAUUUUUCGUGGAGACCAAUUCUUGUGGAAAAUCUAUACGAGCAGCUCUGAUGAUUUUUUACGAAGUUGGAUUAAACCUGUAUUGUGGCGAAAGUUAUGUACAGCGUAGCCUGUCUUGAGUGAAAAUAUUGGGAUAAAUGAUCUUAUUUAAUAAAAUCGGCCACUUUAUUAAAUAUUGCAUUUUGAAAUUGUUUUUGCAAAAAAGAACUAAUAAUAAAGUGUUGGAGAGGAAAUCUCCUAGGGUGUAAUUUAAAAUAGGAUUGCAGUGGGUACUAAGUGGUAAUCAAGUCGUAUGUUUAGGAAACUACAUAUUGAUUCUUUUAAAGGGGAACCGCAAUUUUGGUAACGAAAUUGUAAGAAUUAGGGAAAUCCUACUUGACCUAAGACUCAAAGUUAACUAUUUUAAUAGCCAAACAAUUAU